This 2304-nucleotide long non-coding RNA is filed under the name Salvia miltiorrhiza (redroot sage). Its description in RNAcentral is "long non-coding RNA (SMIL_LNC012104)". The record is from RNAcentral. Lineage: Eukaryota; Viridiplantae; Streptophyta; Magnoliopsida; Lamiales; Lamiaceae.
CGUGCCCAAAAACACAGUGAUAGUGAGAUACUGGUCACCAAUAACGUCAUAAUAAAAUUUUCCUCCGCACUGUUUCUCCAUCAUCUCCAUUUUCCAAGAAAAAGAUAGGUGGUUUCACUGAAUGAGUAAAAUAUAUCGACGCAAUCACUGAAGCAUUUUUCAUUAAGAAGUGGUUGACUUAUGUCUAACAAUGUUAAUCCUUCUUCCAAUUUUCUCUUACCCAUCUGUCUUUACUCGUGGCCUAAAACCCUCAGCAAGUUCACCUCCCAAACGUCUCAUAAAUAUUACAUUUCCUGCACCAUUUUUACAAUCUUCCGAAUGAAUUAUUUGUCACUUGAUUCGUGAGUCCACACUACAUCGUUCAGAUUCUGCAAAAAUAAUGAAUCGACUUUAUCAAUCGAAAAUAUUACUCUUUUCAAUUGCUAAUUAUCUAAAAGAAAACUUAGAAUGAAACGAACAAAACACAUUCACAACAAAAAAAAAUUCAAAAAACACAAUCAAACGCAUAAAAUUGGGAAAAAUGAGAAGAGCCCUUUUGAAAUCACCUUGUAUCAUUGUCUAUAUGAGCAUCCAAAUCAGCGGAGGCACGUCGAGAGAAGUCUCCCAAAUUGUUCAAAGCUCAUGCUUUUCACUUAUAGACAAAAUAAUAUCUAAAAGAACAAAUAAAAAAGCAACAUCUUAAUCUGAAAACUCACAUACAUAUAUAUGUUGUCUGUUAUCUUAUGAUCACACAGACUAUGGUGGUUUGGUUGGCUUUAUCGUUUAGGAGUAGAGGGAUAUUGGCAGCGAAUUUUUUUUAAUGGUAUAACAUAGUUUUGGAAUUUUUGAGUGCAUAUAUCUAUAUUGUAAACGUAAAACUUCAAGUAAUAUUUACACACACAAUUUUAUAACUUCUAAGCUUGAAAAACAAGAUGCUUGUAUAAAACAAUGUAGAAAAAUGGUAGGUUAAAAAAAGUCAAAAGACUGAAUUCUAGCAAAUUUUCUUUCACAAUUAGCUAAUUCAGCGAGACAAUAAACUUGACACAUAGGUGCUUAUAAAUUAACAUUUAAGGAAAUCUAAACACCAAACAUGUAUGUAGUGAGAAAUGCUAAGACAAAUCCAAGGAAAUAUUAAAAAAUGUACAACAUUCGAAAUAUGAAGUAUAAUUCACUUUUGAAACCAAUAUUUGAUCAAACCUUAUUAUAUGAUCAAGCACCAUACCCAAUCGACUUCUCCUUGUGUCAAAAUCAUGUGAAACUGCUGAAGAAAAGACACCAAAAAUUCAAGCGAAAAUGCUAACAAUUAUAAAUGGAGACAAUGGACCAACAUCACUAUUACACCUGAAAAAUAUAUUAUAAUCAUGUUCAUUAAAAUUCCUUUGAAAGGGAUAGAAAAACUGAUACGGCUUCAAAUUGGAGAAGAUGGAAAUUAAAUUGAUACAACUUCACCACAAUAACGCAAAGAUAUUCUUCAGCAAUAUGCCUCCUAAAUUCAACAAACCAACUAUCCAUCAGAACCCAAACUACAAUUCUCCUAAAGGCCUCUAACAGAUAAAGGUAUAAAACCUAUUCAACAUUCAAAUGAUAAUAUAAAAAAACCAACUGGCAAUCCGAGAGAACGUAAAGGAAAGGAGAUUCUGAUCAGAAAUUCAAUCCACAAUUAUGAUGAUAUCAAAUUCAAUCGAGCAAGAGAAAAAUGAAAUAUAACAUCACUCCAUCAAUAAAGCCAUUUUUCUUGACUAAAUUAAAUAAAUAGCGCGUGAAAUCAUACAUUUAUAUUUCGAAAAAAUUCAAUCAAGCCAUAGAAAAAUGAGAUAUAUCAUCAAUCUACCGACAAAAGGGCUUUUUUUGCUGAAUGAAUACACAUAGCGCAUGAAAAACAUCGAGAAAAUUCAAUCGAGGCAGAGAAAAAUGAGAUAUAACAUCAAUCUCCCGACUAAAAGCAAUUUGUUUUGGCUGACAGAAUAAAGAAACAGCGCAGGAAAAACAUACGUAUGACUCGGAUCUCAGUUUCAAAAAAUACUUUUACAAAUCUCCCCGAGUUCCUUACAAAAAAAUCCAAAUUUAAUUAGUACUAUAAUCAGAUAUUUAAGAAUUUGCUAAAUAUUAUCAAAUUACACAAAAAUUGUGCAGUCUUUCUAACAUUAUUUUCCCCCAAAUCGGUUAAAGAGAAAAGAACAAAUUCUCCGAGAAAUGAGAGAUUUAGAGGGUAGAGUUCUCUGGUGGAGAGGACAUCAAGAGAUGGGAAAGAAUUUAACCUUAGUGAUAACUCUUUUUUCUCGGCGGCAUGUUGAUAAUCACCAUAUGUGUGCUCUUGAAUCUGGU